AUAUAAGUAAGCGGAGGAAGAGAAACUAACUAGGAUUCCCUUAGUAAUGGCGAAUGAACAGGGAACAGCUCAACACCGAAUCGGUUUGCCGACUUGUGGUGAAUGGAAACUUAGGAAGUGCUUUUGAGUAAGUCUCCUGGAAUGGGGUACCUAAGAGGGUGAUAGUCCCGUUACUCAAUAAGCUAAACCGUACAAGUUCCUGUGAAAGAGUCGCGUUCUUUGGGAUAAGAGCGCUAAAGGGUGGUAAGUUCCAUCCAAGGCUAAAUAUGACCACGAGACCGAUAGCGCACAAGUA
This 295-nucleotide ribosomal RNA is filed under the name uncultured eukaryote. Its description in RNAcentral is "partial large subunit ribosomal RNA". It matches the Rfam family "Eukaryotic large subunit ribosomal RNA", at positions 40 to 350 of the family's 3401-position model. The record is from RNAcentral.